This 447-nucleotide ribosomal RNA is filed under the name uncultured bacterium. Its description in RNAcentral is "bacterial SSU rRNA". It matches the Rfam family "Bacterial small subunit ribosomal RNA", at positions 330 to 792 of the family's 1533-position model. The record is from RNAcentral.
GCCAGACUCCUACGGGAGGCAGCAGUGGGGGAUAUUGCACAAUGGGGGAAACCCUGAUGCAGCGACGCCGCGUGGGCGAAGAAGUAUUUCGGUAUGUAAAGCCCUAUCAGCAGGGAAGAAGAAAUGACGGUACCUGAGUAAGAAGCACCGGCUAAAUACGUGCCAGCAGCCGCGGUAAUACGUAUGGUGCAAGCGUUAUCCGGAUUUACUGGGUGUAAAGGGAGCGCAGGCGGCGCGUUAAGCCUGGUGUGAAAGCCCGCGGCCCAACCGCGGGACUGCUCUUGGAACUGCAUGGCUGGAGUACAGGAGGGGCAGGCGGAAUUCCUAGUGUAGCGGUGAAAUGCGUAGAUAUUAGGAGGAACACCGGUGGCGAAGGCGGCCUGCUGGACUGUGACUGACGUUGAGGCCCGAAGGCGUGGGGAGCAAACAGGAUUAGAUACCCUCGUA